CCUACGGGAGGCAGCAGUGAGGAAUAUUGGUCAAUGGCCGCAGGGCUGAACCAGCCAAGUCGCGUGAGGGAUGACGGUCCUAUGGAUUGUAAACCUCUUUUGUCAGGGAGCAAAGGGCGCCACGUGUGGCGCUUUGCGAGUACCUGAAGAAAAAGCAUCGGCUAACUCCGUGCCAGCAGCCGCGGUAAUACGGAGGAUGCGAGCGUUAUCCGGAUUUAUUGGGUUUAAAGGGUGCGCAGGCGGAAUGUCAAGUCAGCGGUAAAAUUUCGGGGCUCAACCCCGUCGUGCCGUUGAAACUGGUGUUCUUGAGUGAGCGAGAGGUAUGCGGAAUGCGUGGUGUAGCGGUGAAAUGCAUAGAUAUAACGCAGAACUCCGAUUGCGAAGGCAGCAUACCGGCGCUCAACUGACGCUCAUGCACGAAAGUGUGGGUAUCGAACAGGAUUAGAUACCCGUGUAGUC
RNAcentral lists this ribosomal RNA (459 nucleotides) under uncultured bacterium. Its description in RNAcentral is "partial 16S ribosomal RNA". It matches the Rfam family "Bacterial small subunit ribosomal RNA", at positions 338 to 795 of the family's 1533-position model. The record is from RNAcentral.